This 333-nucleotide ribosomal RNA is filed under the name uncultured Acidobacteriota bacterium. Its description in RNAcentral is "bacterial SSU rRNA". It matches the Rfam family "Bacterial small subunit ribosomal RNA", at positions 568 to 898 of the family's 1533-position model. The record is from RNAcentral. Lineage: Bacteria; Pseudomonadati; Acidobacteriota.
CGCGUAGGCGGCCUGUCAAGUCAUCUGUGAAAUCUCCGGGCUUAACUCGGAACGGUCAGAUGAUACUGUCAGGCUAGAGUGCAGAAAGGGCAAUCGGAAUUCUUGGUGUAGCGGUGAAAUGCGUAGAUAUCAAGAGGAACACCUGAGGCGAAGGCGGGUUGCUAGGCUGACACUGACGCUGAGGCGCGAAAGCCAGGGGAGCAAACGGGAUUAGAUACCCCGGUAGUCCUGGCCCUAAACGAUGAAUACUUGGUGUCUGGAAUUAUUAUUGUUCCGGGUGCCGUAGCUAACGUUUUAAGUAUUCCGCCUGGGGAGUACGCACGCAAGUGUGAA